This 269-nucleotide ribosomal RNA is filed under the name uncultured bacterium. Its description in RNAcentral is "partial 16S ribosomal RNA". It matches the Rfam family "Bacterial small subunit ribosomal RNA", at positions 84 to 354 of the family's 1533-position model. The record is from RNAcentral.
UUGCUAUCUUAGUGGCGGACGGGUGAGUAACGCGUGGGUAACCUGCCUUACACUGGGGGAUAACACUUAGAAAUAGGUGCUAAUACCGCAUAACAGGAGAAGAUGCAUGUCUUUUCCUUAAAAACUCCGGUGGUGUAAGAUGGACCCGCGUCUGAUUAGCUUGUUGGCGGGGUAACGGCCCACCAAGGCGACGAUCAGUAGCCGGCCUGAGAGGGUGAACGGCCACAUUGGGACUGAGACACGGCCCAAACUCCUACGGGAGGCAGCAG